CGAGACAUGCGCACAGCAUGCAUGUCCUCUACGCACGCACGUCCCCUUUGCACGCAUGGGAAGGGUGAGAAGCGCGCACGUCCCCUUCUCGUGCACAAUGUGGGGUCAGGAGCUGUACGCGCAUAUGGGCCAUCUGCGCGUCACUUCUUGCACGGAUUGGUGCUAGAAAUUAUGCAUGUGUCAUCCACAUUGGCGGCUUGCACAGAUAGGCCCUGUGCACUUGGGCCCUGCGGGCAGUAGGCAAAGCACGCGACAGACAGUAUGCCUAGCCCCAACGCAUACGGCAGCAGGCCU
RNAcentral lists this long non-coding RNA (294 nucleotides) under Carica papaya (papaya). RNAcentral describes it as "long non-coding RNA (CPAP_LNC010928)". The record is from RNAcentral. Lineage: Eukaryota; Viridiplantae; Streptophyta; Magnoliopsida; Brassicales; Caricaceae.